ACCUCUCGCGGGGGUUUCGUUUUUUUUUCGGGCCCCCCUCCGCAAAAGGG
Molecule: ribosomal RNA, 50 nt
Filed under: Aspergillus flavus
Lineage: Eukaryota; Fungi; Ascomycota; Eurotiomycetes; Eurotiales; Aspergillaceae
Description: partial 18S ribosomal RNA
Source: RNAcentral